GGAAUAUUGCACAAUGGGCGGAAGCCUGAUGCAGCGACGCCGCGUGAGGGAUGACGGCCUUCGGGUUGUAAACCUCUUUCAGUAGGGAAGAAGCGAAAGUGACGGUACCUGCAGAAGAAGCACCGGCUAACUACGUGCCAGCAGCCGCGGUAAUACGUAGGGUGCGAGCGUUAUCCGGAAUUAUUGGGCGUAAAGAGCUCGUAGGCGGUUUGUCGCGUCUGUCGUGAAAGUCCGGGGCUUAACCCCGGAUCUGCGGUGGGUACGGGCAGACUAGAGUGCAGUAGGGGAGACUGGAAUUCCUGGUGUAGCGGUGGAAUGCGCAGAUAUCAGGAGGAACACCGAUGGCGAAGGCAGGUCUCUGGGCUGUAACUGACGCUGAGGAGCGAAAGCAUGGGGAGCGAACAG
Molecule: ribosomal RNA, 405 nt
Filed under: Pseudomonas sp. IC_126
Lineage: Bacteria; Pseudomonadati; Pseudomonadota; Gammaproteobacteria; Pseudomonadales; Pseudomonadaceae
Description: bacterial SSU rRNA
Rfam family: Bacterial small subunit ribosomal RNA
Source: RNAcentral